UCACUCCUCUCUCUCUCAUUUUCCAUUUUUGUUUCCACCAUUGAAGCUCAUUUGAAGCUUCUUAAAACCUAAAAUUUAACCAUAGAAUUUGAAGAAUUCUUAACUAAAACUUGUAUUUGAGCUUUGAUAAGAAGAUUUAUGGAGGAAGAAAGGAAGAAAUUGGAGAGCUUAAGAAGAUUGGAAGGUUCCACAUAAGAUAGAGACAAGGAAAAAACAGCAGAGUAAGCUGCUGAUUGUGGGGACUACUAAGAGACUUUUGUACGGGUAUUUGAUAAUACCCUUGUAACUUCUUGAUGUAAAUAAUUUUGUAGUCAUAUGUACUUUUGAAACUGAGCAGUUGUAUAGUUAAUAUGUAAUAAUAUGGUCUUUUGGCUUUU
This is a long non-coding RNA of Hevea brasiliensis (rubber tree), 377 nucleotides long. RefSeq lists it as uncharacterized. The record is from RefSeq and is a predicted model, not a curated record. The transcript has 2 exons. Lineage: Eukaryota; Viridiplantae; Streptophyta; Magnoliopsida; Malpighiales; Euphorbiaceae.